Strigops habroptila (Kakapo) is the source of this 569-nucleotide long non-coding RNA. RefSeq lists it as uncharacterized. Lineage: Eukaryota; Metazoa; Chordata; Aves; Psittaciformes; Psittacidae. The transcript is spliced from 4 exons. The record is from RefSeq and is a predicted model, not a curated record.
UUUUUCCGGACCGGCUCUAUCAGGCUCGCCUCGUUUCGCUUCGUCCCUUUCCAGCUCGGAGCCUCUCGGCUCAGCUCGGCGCUGUCCGGCUCUGUUCGGCUCCCGCGGAGUUCGGCGCCCCGCCUGAGGUGCCUAUAUUGAGGUGCUGGAGCCUGAGGACCAGCACCGUGGUGUGUUGACGCUGCAGUGAGGAGGAACAAGACCUGGAGAAGUCUGGAAGAGAGACAAAUAUCCUUCGGAGGAGUCUAAGGAAGGGAGAGCUUGGGGCUGUGAUAGCCAACGGAAUUAUUGUGGGAGUUGUAAUAUCUGCUCUGCCCCCUUGAGACACUUCCAUUGGUGGUGGACUAAGCAGCCAGAUUUCAUAUUACAAAAGGUGACCAGUAGGAAUCUGUGACUGAUGAGCAGCCCAGUCAGUACUGAGAUACUGCAGCCGCUGGUUCCGCUGGCACUGUUAUCUGGCGUAAGCCUGUGCUGUAUGCUGAAAAGGUUAGUCCUGUACCUUCCAUCCUUGUUUUGAUGCUAAUGAUUGUACACAUAGAUGGUAAUUAAAGAACUAAUUGGGCUGAAAA